Molecule: ribosomal RNA, 253 nt
Filed under: uncultured bacterium
Lineage: Bacteria
Description: partial 16S ribosomal RNA
Rfam family: Bacterial small subunit ribosomal RNA
Source: RNAcentral
UACGUAGGGGGCAAGCGUUGUCCGGAUUUACUGGGUGUAAAGGGCGCGCAGGUGGGCUUGAUAGUUAGAGGUGAAAUCCUGUGGCUUAACUGCAGAACUGCCUUUAAUACUUCAAGUCUUGAGUGCGGAAGAGAGAGACGGAAUUCCAGGUGUAGUAGUGAAAUACGUAGAUAUCUGGAAGAACACCAGUUGCGAAGGCGGUCUCUUGGUCCGUAACUGACACUUAGGCGCGAAAGCGUGGUGAGUAAACAGG